AGAGGUGGUUGGGUCCUGAGAGCUCUGUCCUUAUGAAUGGAUUAGUGUCGUUAUUGCAGGAGUGGCUUCAUGAUGGAGAGAGUGGAUUUGUCAUGAAAGUGAGUUUGGCCAUUCCUUGCUGCUCACGUGCCACCUCUUGCCAUGGGAUGCCCUCGCCAUGGGAUGCCCUCGCCAUGGGAUGCCCUCUCCAUGGGAUGACAGCAAGAAGGCCCCUGCUUGAGUGAGCCCCUCCAUCUUCGGCUCUCUGGCCUCCAGGACUGUUAGAAAUACAUCUCUGUUCUUUGUAAAUUACCCAGGCUGUAGUAUUCUGUUAUGGCAACACAAAACAGACUAAGACACCAUUAUGUGGAUGAAGAAACAGGCCCAAGAGGUGAGGAGUGUUGUCCAGGUCUUCUGGCCAGAGAAGCGGCAGAGAUGGGAUUUGAACCCUGGGACUGUGUGGCUUGUGACCACUCCUAGCUUCAGCCCUGCCCGGUGCUGAGGGGUUUGGGGCCAGGACGAUGGCCAGAUAUUUGGGCACACUGGGCCCUACCCACCUGGAAAGAGGCUGGCCUGGGGUUGAAUCAGAACCAGAAGUGACUCAGGCUAGGACCCCUCUGCACCCUCCCUCAGGCCGUGGGUAAUUACUUGCCCAGGUUAAUAGGGCCCACUUCCCGCCACCUUUCAUCAAGGCUCCUGGAGCUGCCAGGCAGUAAUUAACCCUCACAGCACCCUUCUGAAGUCAGCACUGGAGGCAGACGUGUGAUGAAACUCGUUUAUUACAGGAAGUACCAGUUGGCCCAGAUGCUUCUCAUCUUUAGAGUUGAGCUGCAGGCUGGAGACCUGGAAGGCCCUCGCAGCACCUGCUCCCAACCUCUCACCUCACGAAAGCGCAGGAACAUGGGUUUGGAGCCAAUGAAAAGUACUGGAAUCUGGCUCUGCUCUGUGAUCCUGGGCAAGUCACUGCCCCUCUCUGGGCUUCAGUUUCCUCCUUG
This 974-nucleotide long non-coding RNA is filed under the name Pongo abelii (Sumatran orangutan). Its description in RNAcentral is "lincRNA". Lineage: Eukaryota; Metazoa; Chordata; Mammalia; Primates; Hominidae. The record is from RNAcentral.